GUAGGUGGCAAGCGUUGUCCGGAAUUAUUGGGCGUAAAGCGCGCGCAGGCGGUUCUUUAAGUCUGAUGUGAAAGCUCACGGCUCAACCGUGGAGGGUCAUUGGAAACUGGAGAACUUGAGUACAGAAGAGGAAAGCGGAAUUCCACGUGUAGCGGUGAAAUGCGUAGAGAUGUGGAGGAACACCAGUGGCGAAGGCGGCUUUCUGGUCUGUAACUGACGCUGAGGCGCGAAAGCGUGGGGGAGCAAACAGGAUUAGAUACCCUGGUAGUCCACGCCGUAAACGAUGAGUGCUAAGUGUUAGGGGGUUUCCGCCCCUUAGUGCUGCAGCUAACGCAUUAAGCACUCCGCCCUGGGAGUACGGCCGCAAGGCUG
This 372-nucleotide ribosomal RNA is filed under the name uncultured organism. RNAcentral's name for it is "partial 16S ribosomal RNA". It matches the Rfam family "Bacterial small subunit ribosomal RNA", at positions 527 to 896 of the family's 1533-position model. The record is from RNAcentral.